GAGGGGCUUCGGCCCCAAUCGAGUGGCGAACGGGUGAGUAACACGUGGGUGAUCUACCUUCGAGUGGGGGAUAACGUCCCGAAAGGGACGCUAAUACCGCAUGACAUCCUGCCUUUGAAGAGGCGGAGAUCAAAGCCGGGGAUCGCAAGACCUGGCACUCGGAGAGGGGCCCGCGCCUGAUUAGCUAGUUGGUGGGGUAAUGGCCUACCAAGGCAACGAUCAGUAUCCGGCCUGAGAGGGCGGACGGACACACUGGGACUGAGACACGGCCCAGACUCCUACGGGAGGCAGCAGUGGGGAAUUGUUCGCAAUGGGCGCAAGCCUGACGACGCAACGCCGCGUGGAGGAUGAAGAUUUUCGGA
This 362-nucleotide ribosomal RNA is filed under the name uncultured bacterium. Its description in RNAcentral is "bacterial SSU rRNA". It matches the Rfam family "Bacterial small subunit ribosomal RNA", at positions 72 to 422 of the family's 1533-position model. The record is from RNAcentral.